This 940-nucleotide long non-coding RNA is filed under the name Gossypium barbadense (sea-island cotton). Its description in RNAcentral is "long non-coding RNA (GBAR_LNC006373)". The record is from RNAcentral. Lineage: Eukaryota; Viridiplantae; Streptophyta; Magnoliopsida; Malvales; Malvaceae.
AGCCAUCUUGUAUACAUCACUUCUAUGAAAGAUCAUACUUCAACUUGAUAGGCAAAGGUUCAAUUACUUUGCAUCAUAUAAACCAAUCUUACAAGCCGAUUGGUGCACGAUAAAACACACAUGAAAAUGUUAUACAAUCACAAUUAGUUAGAAAAUAUCAUAGGUUUAUUUGCUUACAUAUCGUAAUCGUCCCCAUUUGAAAUAGAAGCAGCACUGUGAAAAGGAACUUUUUCAUGCCCAUUGCUAGAGCUAAAGGAAGACGUGCUUGCUCUCAUACUUUGGGUCAAGGAUGGCAGCCUGUCAAUAGGCAUUUGACAAGAAUCUGAAAGACUAAAACCAAGGAUGCUCUACUCGUUCCUUUCUGCUCCUCAAUUAUAUAAGGACUACAGAAAUGUUGAUUUCUAGGUAGGGAUUGCACCACUCAAGCCUAACCAUAAUAUUUACCCAAAUCAACAACAGUAAAACGAGAACAACGAGAAAAAGAAUUAAAAGAUUAAAAAAAUAAGAACGAAGAUCAACUCAAAAGAAGUGCAUAUCAAUGGGGGGUGAUAAUAGGGAUAAUCUGCAAAUUCCUACUGCACUAGUUGUACUGCUUAAACAGGAUAAAUAAUCCUUGGAUUGAUCACGCAAAUUUGCUAAGAGAUUGAAAAAAAAGAAAGAUAGAUAACAAAAAUCAGAAUCAUCGAAGAGAUAAAAAUGAGUAGACUAGAGAGAAUAUAAAAGAGGGUACCUGGCAAUGGUACUGCAUUGCAACCCAAGGGGGAGGGAAAGGGGAAGAGGAAAUGGGAGAAGGUUUAGCAGAGUAUUGGGAUGUGAAGGGAAAAUCAAUUGGAAAAUGUCUUACUGAAAAAAAAAAGUGUAAGACAUUUUCCCAAAAAAAGGCAUCAUUUUCCCGUGUUUUGGAAUAGCUUUUAUGGUAGAAAUUUAUUUUCCUCCAAAC